AUAUAUAAAACACACAUGCAUGCAUAUACUUAUGAGCAAUCCAUCAUCCAUAGAUUCACAAGUCUCCAUCCAUACAUAAUCCAUACAUAUAUAGGUUCACAAGUCCAGGACAGCCAAAAGCACAACCAUCCAUCAGGUCUAAAUGCAUACAGUUGUAGGUUCAUAAGUCAAAGUAUUACAUCAUAGAAAAAAGUGCAAAAUAGGUUUUAGGUAGAAACAUAUCCCAGCAGAAGAUCCUUUUAGCCUCACCAAACACACCUCUUGAAACUUGUGAAUGCAAAGGCAUUAUGCUGGUGACCUGUAAAGAAAAAGGUAAUGGCCAAAUAGAUCAGCUCGGAAGAACACAUCUUCCAAACAUAGAAGUUGCAUGGGUUGAAAAAGAAAAUCAACUCAUCCAAACGAAAAGACACAUGUGUGUUAACCUGUACUUUGGAUUGCACAAGGCAUAGAAAGAAUGUGUGGAUGUACUCAUAUGAACAGAUUGUGCACUAUGUAUGAAUCAUCAGGAAAAUCAAUGUAACCUAUCACUAUAAAUAUAUACCAAUUGUCAUCUUUUGGUGUAGUAUAAUUUCUCUUGAUUGCUGUGAAGUAAACAAAACAUUCAAAAACAGGGGCGAAGUGCAAAAUCAGAACUUAGGCCCUCGAUGUCAUUCAAAAUUAGAAAGCAAACUUUAUAAUAUAUAUCACGUUGGUAGUGCAAUUGUUUGAAUAACUACAUUCUAUCAAAAAGUGAUUUUCACUGUAACUCAAAAGUAAUACAUUCUAGUGCUAGAAGAAAUUGCAGAAAAGGAAACUAUAUUACAGAAAAAACGGCGACUAAAUAAACAGAUGGGUUUUAGGGUAAAUAACCAGAUGGUUGGUUGAGGCCUUGAGGGUGAUCCCCAAGCUAGUAACUGGUCAAGUUUAUUGAGUAGCCAGUAGGAUAGUCACUAGUAAUACUAGUCAGGAGUCAGGAUUACUAUUACGUGCAAAAUUGGGGCCCUAAUAAUUUGGGAUAGUCAUCAAUAGUUAUGAGAAUGUAUACCAAGUGAACAGCCCACUGAUUAAGUUUGCACUUGGUUUCAGGAAAAGAGUUUGCAGGCACAUAAAUGUCUGUGGAAAGUUUAAGUAGUAGCUGCAGAAUUAUUUAAGAAACAAGAAACAGAGUUGCUGGUUGUGAUUCAGAAUAGAAGGACUUAAGCAUAUGUUUGAAAGUAGGCACAUUUUUUAUCUACUGGGAAAACCAAAAAAAGUACUAGUUGCUAAGGAGGAAAUAAGAAACUUGUAGGUUCCUACUUUCAAGCACAUGCUUCAUUCAGAAAAAUAAUAAGUCAUCAGUAUGUGAAAGGAGAAACAUAUCUUUUCUUUAGUAUAAUAUUCCAAAAUUCUAAGAAGAUACAAUACCUUCUAGCUGUGGGAACUGCUAUGGGCUGCCAUGGUUGCUUCUGCAUAACUUUACGAACACCCCAAUCUGCAAACAUAGGAUUAUCAACAGGAAGCAAUUUGAGAAACCUACAAUUGCUAAAAUAGACAUGAUUAGAAAGAAGUUUAAAAUAUCUAAAAGGUCAUGCAAUAGAUCGCCCGAGAGCAUUGGCCAUGGUCCUCACAUUCCCAUAAGGGCAUUGCAAAAUAGCAUCAUUUUUCAUCACCAUGUUAGCUACAACUUCAGAACAUUGAGAACCAUGGUCGGCGAGUCCCCUGGAAAGGCCUUAUUAAGCAGCUCUAGCAAUAUGUUAAAACUCUUAUCACUCCAACCCCAAGAAAUUUGGUGUGGAUUAAUCUAACUACAAAGUGUAGCUUUGAGAAGCUUGUGCACCCGGGAUAAAGUUUGGCAUCUGCAUCAUCUAAUAAUUGGUGAAAAGCCUCUAUAUUUAGAUCACUUCCAUCUUCCCUUAGGUCACCAUCAUUCCCACCAUCGUCCCCAACUUAACCGAAUUCAUGCCCUAUAUCUUGGAGCAUUUCUGGUAUCAAAUCAAGUACCUCAAAUAUGUCCUCAUCUUCAACCUCAUCAUUUUGAAACUCUUGUCCAUUAUGGUUUGCUUGUACUAAAUUUCGACCCUUGCCUAAAUAUUGCAAGCCAACACAAAUCAGUAUUUUUUUUACAGAACCAAGGCAUUGAAAUCAUAAUUACAAACCAAAGCAACCUUCCAAGUAUUCGAAAUAUAGUCAAACAAUUACCAUGUAACGAUAGAAACAAAUCACGAGAUAUUCAAAAUAUAGUCAAAAGAAACCACACAGUGAUAUAUAAAAAUCAAAUUAUCAGUUAUGAUAAGACUCACAAAAGGCUGCAAGGGCACUUCUUCGGUUAUUGAUGGUUGCAGCUUGAUACUUCUUCCCUUGCCAACUUUGAUCUCAAAACUUGUCUUUCAAGAUCAGUUUAGGCUGGUUAACCUGCAAACCAUCCAAACAUAAUUAGCAUGGGUGAAGAAUAAUCAACAAUUAUCCUGCAAUUAUCUAUCCAAUAUCUAUUUUUUGUUAGCCUAUUCUAUCUGUGUGUUCAUCAUGCAGCUCAUCCUACUUAACACUACCUUCAGGAAGGCCUAGGACUUGGUUAACCAGAAUAUGGCAUACAUGUUGGUAACAAGUUUAAUUUUCAGUUUUAUUCCUUUAAUCCUGACAUGCAUACUGGCAUAUGUAGGUCGUAUAUUACUUCAUCUGCACUAUACUCCUUGUUGUGGAAUUUACAUAACUAAGUAUUUAUGAGAUCACAAUAGAGGUUUUGUGAGUUGUAUAUUUCUGUUGCCAACAGUUGCUUAUUCUUUUCUAUAUGUGCAAGCAUGAUCUGCUGCAAAUUCUCUUUGCAUAUUGUUGUUGCAUAAACAGAUGAGAAGGUUUAGAUCUUCUCUUACUAGUUAGUCAGAAACCUGUUAUUUGGAGCAUAUCAAUGCCAGGCUGCUAGAUCUGAAGGCUAAUGUGACAAUUUGCUAGAUAAUUUGAUAGAGCGCAAUAGAGAAUGAUCUUACAAAACAUGGCUUUAAAUGCAUACCUGUAAAGACCGACCAAAAAAGAAAAGAGCUCAGUUGCAGCCUCUAUGUGCGACUGAGGCUAGCUGUUGCUGCUGCUGCUGCUUCAGUUGACGAACACAAGUUGAAGCCGUGGCAGAGGGCAGAACAGAGGAGCAGCAGCAACAGACGAACAGCAGUGGCAGUUGCACCAGGUGGUAGCACGAACGAACAGAGGAGCUGUCACACCGGGCUGCACUGUGAGGCGAAGCAGGGGCGGGGAUAGGGAUUGGGGAAUGGGGUGGCGGCGCUGGACUGGGGAUGCUGGUGCGGCGUGGAAGGAGAUGGGGAUGGGAGGCGGCGGCUCAGGGUGAGGGAUGCCGGUGCAGUGUGGAUGGGGAUUGGCGGCGGCGUGUCUCGGAAGUGUGGGUGGGGCAGCGCGAGUACGAGAUUUGGUGGCGUCCGGCUCUACGAGUACAAGAUUUGGGGGCGGCGGUGCUGGGUAGAGGCGUGCAUGGGGAGGGCGACGGCAGGGUGAUGAAGGGGAUGGAAGCGGGGUGGCAAGGAUGCGGGUGAGCCGCCGGCGGCGAUAGGCUGGGCGGGCGGCAAGGACGCUUGACGCGGGCGAGUCGGCGGCGGCGCUAGGGUUGCCGGCCUCGAAGGCGAGAUGCAGUGCGGCGGCUUACGAGGAGGGAGGGAGAGUGGCGGAGGAGAUAUGUGGAUAAGGGAAAAGAUAA
Molecule: long non-coding RNA, 3658 nt
Filed under: Triticum aestivum (bread wheat)
Lineage: Eukaryota; Viridiplantae; Streptophyta; Magnoliopsida; Poales; Poaceae
Description: long non-coding RNA (TAES_LNC013309)
Source: RNAcentral